This 505-nucleotide ribosomal RNA is filed under the name uncultured bacterium. Its description in RNAcentral is "bacterial SSU rRNA". It matches the Rfam family "Bacterial small subunit ribosomal RNA", at positions 19 to 518 of the family's 1533-position model. The record is from RNAcentral.
AUGGCUCAGGAUGAACGCUAGCGGCAGACUUAACACAUGCAAGUCGAGGGGCAUCGGGAGUAGCAAUACUGCCGGCGACCGGCGCAAGGGUGCGUAACGCGUGAGCAACAUGCCCGUAUCAGGGGGAUAAUCCAUGGAAACGUGGUCUAAUACCCCAUAGUAAUUAUGUAAGGCAUCUUAUAUAAUUUAAAGCUUUGGUGGAUACGGAUUGGCUCGCGUGACAUUAGCUAGAUGGUAAGGUAACGGCUUACCAUGGCUACGAUGUCUAGGGGUUCUGAGAGGAAGGUCCCCCCACACUGGAACUGAGACACGGUCCAGACUCCUACGGGAGGCAGCAGUGAGGAAUAUUGGACAAUGGAUGGAAAUCUGAUCCAGCCAUGCCGCGUGCAGGAAAGACGGCCCUAUGGGUUGUAAACUGCUUUUGUAUGGGAGCAAUAAGGGCUACGCGUAGUCCGAUGAGAGUACCAUACGAAUAAGCACCGGCUAACUCCGUGCCAGCAGCCGC